CCCUUAGAUGUCCUGGGCCGCGCGCGCGCUACACUGACAUGUUCAACAAGUUUCUCCUAGUUCGACAGGACUGGGAAAUCUUUGAACGCAUGUCGUGAUAGGGAUAGAUCAUUGCAAUUAUUGAUCUUGAACGAGGAAUUCCUAGUAAACGCGAGUCAUCAGCUCGCAUUGAUUACGUCCCUGCCCUUUGUACACACCGCCCGUCGCACCUACCGAUUGAAUGUUUCGGUGAAGAUUCCGGAUAGGACUGAUUUGAUUUAUUUCAUUUCUGACCUAAAAGCUAUCUAAACCUCAACAUUUAGAGGAAGGUGAAGUCGUAACA
RNAcentral lists this ribosomal RNA (322 nucleotides) under uncultured eukaryote. RNAcentral's name for it is "partial 18S ribosomal RNA". It matches the Rfam family "Eukaryotic small subunit ribosomal RNA", at positions 1470 to 1796 of the family's 1831-position model. The record is from RNAcentral.